UAACCAACAAAGGGCCUCUCUGGUUUGAA
This 29-nucleotide non-coding RNA is filed under the name Rattus norvegicus (Norway rat). Lineage: Eukaryota; Metazoa; Chordata; Mammalia; Rodentia; Muridae. The record is from RNAcentral.